RNAcentral lists this ribosomal RNA (528 nucleotides) under Peziza griseorosea. RNAcentral's name for it is "eukaryotic LSU rRNA". It matches the Rfam family "Eukaryotic large subunit ribosomal RNA", at positions 74 to 600 of the family's 3401-position model. Lineage: Eukaryota; Fungi; Ascomycota; Pezizomycetes; Pezizales; Pezizaceae. The record is from RNAcentral.
AUUGCCCUAGUAACGGCGAGUGAAGCGGCAAAAGCUCAGAUUUGAAAUCUGGCGUCAUCUUUUGGCGUCCGAGUUGUAGUCUGUAGAGGUGUAUUCGAGUGUGGCUUUGGCUUAAGUUCCUUGGAACAGGACGUCAUAGAGGGUGAGAACCCCGUUUACGGCCUUUGUCUUAUGCUCAUGUGAAUCUCCUUCAACGAGUCGAGUUGUUUGGGAAUGCAGCUCUAAAUGGGUGGUAAAUUCCAUCUAAAGCUAAAUACUGGCAAGAGACCGAUAGCGCACAAGUAGAGUGAUCGAAAGAUGAAAAGAACUCUGAACAGAGAGUUAAAUAGUACGUGAAAUUGUUGAAAGGGAAGCACUUCCGACCAGACGCACUUGCAGCCGAUCAAUUCUCAUUCUUGGGAGUGCACUCGGUUGUCUGUGGGUCAGCAUCAGUUAUAGCGGUGGGAAAAAGACUAAGGGAAUGUAGCUCCUCUCGGGGAGUGUUAUAGCCUUUGGUGUAAUGCUGCCUGCUGUGACUGAGGACCGCGC